UGGGGAAUAUUGGACAAUGGGCGAAAGCCUGAUCCAGCCAUGCCGCGUGUGUUAAGAAGGUCUUCGGAUUGUAAAGCACUUUAAGUUGGGAGGAAGGGCAGUAAGCGAAUACCUUGCUGUUUUGACGUUACCGACAGAAUAAGCACCGGCUAACUCUGUGCCAGCAGCCGCGGUAAUACAGAGGGUGCAAGCGUUAAUCGGAAUUACUGGGCGUAAAGCGCGCGUAGGUGGUUCGUUAAGUUGAAUGUGAAAGCCCCGGGCUCAACCUGGGAACUGCAUCCAAAACUGGCGAGCUAGUGUAGGGCAGAGGGUGGUGGAAUUUCCUGUGUAGCGGUGAAAUGCGUAGAUAUAGGAAGGAACACCAGUGGCGAAGGAGACCACCUGGGCUCAUACUGACACUGAGGUGCGAAAGCGUGGGGAGCAAACAGG
This 429-nucleotide ribosomal RNA is filed under the name Pseudomonadota bacterium. RNAcentral's name for it is "Proteobacteria bacterium partial 16S ribosomal RNA". It matches the Rfam family "Bacterial small subunit ribosomal RNA", at positions 355 to 776 of the family's 1533-position model. Lineage: Bacteria; Pseudomonadati; Pseudomonadota. The record is from RNAcentral.